This 243-nucleotide ribosomal RNA is filed under the name uncultured bacterium. Its description in RNAcentral is "partial 16S ribosomal RNA". It matches the Rfam family "Bacterial small subunit ribosomal RNA", at positions 1260 to 1500 of the family's 1533-position model. The record is from RNAcentral.
AGGGGGAGGCAGACCNCAAAAAAGGACGUCCCAGUUCGGAUUACAGCCUGCAACCCGGCUGUAUGAAGCUGGAAUCGCUAGUAAUCGUAGAUCAGAAUGCUGCGGUGAAUACGUUCCCGGGUCUUGUACACACCGCCCGUCACACCAUGGGAGUUGGAAAUGCCCGAAGUCAGUGACCGAACCGAAAGGAAGGAGCUGCCGAAGGUGGAGCCGAUGACUGGGGUGAAGUCGUAACAAGGUACC